GCACCGCCCCACCUUUUAUCUGGGAGCUUGGCCAGGCAGGGGCUGGCCCAAGCAGCAAGAGCCUCCUCCUCCUCACCGCACCGUGGCUCGGAGGAGUUGCAUCUUUUUGCCUCGGGAGCCUGGCGCAUCGGAGCUUCCCUGCACUCAUCCACGCGGGAUGGUCACCUCCACUCCGGAAUGGGCGUUCCCAACCUCCAGAGGCACGUGACUUUAAAGACCAUAUCCUCACAAAAUAGGAUCAAGUAAAAGCUGCUCAGUGGUGAAGACGCGGAGCUGGACCAGCCCCGGUGCUGGGUGCAGCAGCCGCUGUGCAGGAGGCCGUGUCUGUCCUGUCCAAGAGAGUUGGAGUCAGAACCUCACCUGGAGCCCCACUCCUCCUAGAAUAGAGGAACGGCCCAGGCCACACCCCAGCCGCACCAGUACAGCAGCUGCUUUGCAAAGUGGAUGUCCGCAGGUGCUUCCAACGCAUGUCAGAACUAAGCUGGAGCCCUGUCCACGCUCCUUCGUGCUCUGUCGGGAGGCUCCGCAGGAGCUGGCCGCUGGGUGGGACGCCAGAAGGUGGCUUCAUCUUCCCCGCAGGCUGGGUGAAAAUUCAAAACCAAGGGAAAUUACUGCCGUCAGGGUUGCGGCUUCAGCCAGAGCUUGCCUCCCAGUCUCACACUCAUGCUCUCCUGUGGAAUCAGGCUCUGCGAUUCUUUUGCCCGGAGCAGAAAGGACCUGCGACACGGCCUGGGGAGACGGCUCCACCGUCUGAGGUAGCAGCAAACAAAGCAGCAGCAUGGAGGGUCAGGGGCGAGGGGAGCAGUCCCGGCUGUCUGCUGGCUUUCUGCUUUCUAAGCUUUUAUUUUCAUAGGGAGGAGAGAGAGGGCGCCUGAGUCUGACAAGAGGGUCUCAGCUCCCGUGCUGGCAACUCUCCUGCCGGCCACAGGGACCUCCGGGCCAUGGCGCCCGGCCGGCCUACUGGGUGACAAGCUUGGAGGGUGUGUGGAAGGGCCCAGCUGCUGUGAGGGUGCCGGUGUUCCCUCCCUCGCCUCCUGCCGCACCUGCUCUGAGCUGAGUUCUGCCAUCACAGAUGUGGGUUCGGCAGAGAGACCACCUGGCAAUGAGGCACACGUGUCCGGAUGGAGUGUCUGUAAGGGACGUUUGCUGAUGACUUGCCGAGGCUAUGGUAGAACCCGCCGGCCGUGGAAAGCAGGAGCUGGCACUGGCUGUAGCGCCCGGACCCCAGGCCUCCCGCCUGUGGCCCAGCUUCCUGGCUGCCUCAUAGCUCUAAAGCAAACGCCCUGGCCAAAGAGACGCAUCUCAUCCCCAGCAGUCCCCAGCUCCUGACGCAGCAUGGACCCCUCACUCGCUCCUCCAGGCAGCCCAGGGCCUAUGGUGAUAGAGCCUCUAGAGUGGCGGACCAGGUUCUGAGGGUCUUUAAAACAGUCACCAAUGGGAAGUUUUGUUCACAGAAAUUUAACAUUGAGAAACAAAUGGAAACAUAACAGAAAAGACCGAUUACGUUUCCCAAGUUGGAAAGAAUCGGGUUCCAUCUGCCCAGGAGAAACAGGCGUCUCCACGUGCUGGGAGUGGCGCGUGGGAAGUAGAGGGAGUCUCAAGAACAGCAAGCCAGGGGCGCUGACCUGCAGGGAGGGGCGCCAGGGGCCCAGGGUGGCCUCUCAGGUUCACGAACCAGGGAAGGGACCCCAGCAGACGUGGACUUGCCCACAUCGCCCCUGGGGGAGGCUCUCCAGCCAGCUGAGGACAUACCCGGGGCUCCAGCCCCAUCCACAGCCUCCCUCCCGGUCCGUGAAGGAUUGGUCUCACCCAUGGCAGGAGGUUCUCACCGCGUGGCCUGUGGGUCCUGGCAUGGGGUAAGUUCCCAGGGACUCUGCCAGUGGGUCUGCAGAUCAGAACUACGUUUGUGACAAAGCUAAGUGACACUGUGUGACAAUAUGUCACUACUUUUGUGACAAUGCCUUCUCCAGCGGGCGACAUCUGCGAAUGGCGGCUCCGUAUUGGGCACAGGGCGGCAGCUCCACACCCUGCCUUCCCACCACCAGCACUUACUGUGCAGUAGAAACAAUAGCUCCACUUUUAAAAGGCCCCCUGGGGCAGAAAAACUAUCCGUUCUGUUCUAUCUCAGCCUUGCACACAGCACAGCAGGGUGCAUGGCCACAGGUGGGGCAGUACACGGGAAAUGCAGGCAGAGUGCGUGGACCACACAUGGAAGCUGACGGGACUGGGAGAAAGUGUGUGGCUGAGUCUGGAGCCACGGCCCCCACCCCCCAGCUACGUCUGUACCUGAAAAAACAACCAACUAGCCACGGUCAUCGGGCAUCGGGCAGGCAUUUUCUUGAAAAUGAGCAAAAUGAGCCUGUUGCUUUAAGGUAAACUUGCAGUAUUUGUUGCCAAUAACAAAAUUUGAGCUUUCAAGCAAAAAUUAGAAUUUUGGAAAACUUGUAUCCAUCACUGUGAGCUUCCCAGUCAGCACUUCAAGACUUUUCCGAGGAAGUUGGUGGUGAUAUUCGCA
RNAcentral lists this long non-coding RNA (2515 nucleotides) under Homo sapiens (human). Its description in RNAcentral is "HSALNT0395429". The record is from RNAcentral. Lineage: Eukaryota; Metazoa; Chordata; Mammalia; Primates; Hominidae.